CCAUGCUGAUCCGCUGAGCUGGGUGGCUGGAAACCCCCUCUCUGCUGCCGGUGCCGUGUUGCACUCCGAGAGCGACGCUUCCCAGCCCAGAGAAAUGGUGCAAAUGAGCUUUGCUGGCCACUCCGCAAUGAGCAAGCGCUGUUUGAGAUGUUGGAGGAGAAUUGAAUCAAGCUGUUGGUAAAAAGAGCUCUAGUUCCUUCUUGCUUUCAAAGAACAUUUGCUGCUGGAUUUGCUGUCUGUAGGCAGAGCACAAGGUUUAAACCUCUGAGCUCCAGGGAAGAGAAAAGGCUGCCGAGCUCAUAUGAAAGGGAGUGCAAGCACUGACCUGCGUGUCUGGGUGCCUGCGCUGGAUUUCUGAUUGCUCUGAGCAGCAAGGACUGAGUGCAUGAGAUCAUGGUGUCCCCACGGACUGCCGGACAAUGGCAACCUCUCCAGCAGGAAAAACCUGGUCCUCCCACACCACAGCAGGACGGGUCGCCAGGACCCUGUUUGGUCGCCGAUGUGCACGGCACUGCGCGGGUUGGUGCCUGCACCCCACUUUGCGUGGCCGUCGGAGCUCCUGCCAGGCAGGAGGGAUCGAGGAGGCUGAGAGCAACCUGGGCACACGAUUUGUGCCACGUACGUCCAUGCAGGCAAAGGGGCUGAUUCUGAUGCUUUGCACCAGCAUUUUAAGCCGUAUGCCAUCUUAAACCUGAUGCAUUAAAAACCUAGGGAGAAGCUGUCUGCGAGGCAGCGCAAUGGACUGGUCAGGAGGGGAACCCAGUUAUUCCCACUAGGAAAGUGUCUCCGAGAAGCUGCUCUGCAGCUCGGGGCCGAGAAGCCGUGGGUGGGAAGUGCGGGGCUGGCAGCGCUCUGGGGCAGCCGCCUCCAUCGGCAUUUCAGGCUUCAGCUUACCCAUGCUGUUGGGCCAGCCUCUGUAGGCUGCGGGCUGUCUCUUGGGGUUAGUUGAAAACAUUUUGAUAAGUGAAGCAGGGGGGCAAUUAAAAGCUUGUGCUAAUUCUCCCUCGUUCCCCUUGCUGCGCAAGACUUGCAGAGAAGCAACCCCAGGGAAAGCUUUUGGCCACACGAAUGUGCAUCUGGUGUUUGCAAAGUCCCUCCUGCAGCCAAAGGGCCAUGUCCCUUCCUGGCAUAAAUCCCUAAUUCCUUGUUGCAACAGUGGUCCUCUUUGGAUUAUAACUGGAGUUGUACUCCUUUUUCUUUGGGUUUUUUUUAGAUACAACAAAAAUCUUGCUUUUGUGAAUUCACUUUCAUUUUGCAUCAUCAAAACUACCACAUUCCUUCUCUUCCCUGUCCCAGCGUAACAGGUUUUGAAGGUUUAAAGCACAAAACCCGUAUCACAGCUGAACUCGGCGGACGGGAGUUUGCAUGUUGGCGCAUGAGCUUUCCACUUUUAACCCAGACCUCCGGACACCAAUGUCACCAAGGCCAGGGCAGUGGUGGUGGCUUGUCUGGGACACUUUGCCGGGCGGGGGUGGCUCUGCGCUCUCUAGCUGUUUGCAGUGUGCCGCUGUGUUUGUGCAUAUAAUGCAACAGGGAUUUCAAAGAAUUAUAAGUGUACAAAACCAGAACAGGAUAGGCUAAUCAUUAGCAAGAUUAUUACUAACAAAUCAAAAUAUUUAGUUGUAAUAUGCUUUAAAAUAGAAGAUACAGCCAUUACCAGGUAGAUGGCAUUAACUUUCUCCUAGCCACUCAUUUCCACACUCGGCCUGAGUUGUGGUGUUAGUGACCAUGACCGUGACAAGGGUUGCCAAAACGCCCACCAAGUGUGACUGUGCAGGCACAUGAGUGCAUGAGAAACCUGGGAAGUGUUCAAGCAUUAAUAAACCCCAAAUAUAUACCUAUACCAUUACGACAGGUAAAAACUCAUUACACCCUGUCUCCAUCAUUUGGAUUUUGAUGCGUUCGUUCCUACCAGCGGAGCGCGUUAGAGCUUGGUGCGUGCGUGCGCUGGUUAGUGCGGAGUGAGACACGGACGUGCUGCAAUGUGGGUUUGGUGUGAAAAGCCAUGCAAAUGGAAAAAUUACCUUGUCCUUUACAACAUAAUGACCGCUUUUCUUGCUUUCCAACGCAGGACAGCUAAAUAUUUGUUGUCUUAGUAUCAUCUUGACAACGAAUAAUGUGAUCUAGUUUUAUUCGGUAUGUUGCCAUGCUCUUAAGCCUCACGGCGUUACGCCUCCACUGAGUAACAAAGAGACAUUUUAAUGCUGCGUAUAAAGGUCCGGGGAGGUUAGACCCCCUCAAACCUCACAGUCACUGUCUCUUGGCUAUAUGGAUGUGUCCUCAGUGUCUAUACCCAUAAAAAAGUGGCUCAUGGUGCUUUUGGGGGGCAGUGGGAGGUUGGUCUGCAGUAGCUAUGGCAUGAGACCUCCCUGGGUUGGGUUUCCCAGCCUACGCUGUGCGGAUACUUCCCUGGACCCCCCAGCACUGAAAGCACUGUGGUUGGGAAUGUCACCUUCCUCUCCAGCACUAUUGCAAGCUUAAAUAUUGAAAUAGUGCUUUUGGGUUCCCAGCAGAAAAUGCUGGGGGAGCAGAGAUCUCGUCCUGUCAGACCAGGUUAGCUCUACCAAAUAUCACUCGUUACAAGAUCUUCUCUGGGUUUCUACAGUGCUUUCUGUGGCUAUCAGUCCUUGGGAGGAAUAUCUUCAGAUUUAUAAUGAUUUGAAAGAAAUCAGGACCUGCUGCUCUGCCGGGUAUGAAAUACCAGAGUUCAGUUCCCAAAUUCUGCUGACUCAGCUGCAAAGUUAUGCUCUGAGAAGCCGGUACAUUCCUAAUGCAGCUUGCCAGGGAUCAGCACAGUUCAAUCCAUUAGCUAUUAACUAUUGCUCUUAACAAGGACCAGUGUCAAGGACGUGCUAUGGGAUCAAAGAAAUAUGAAGAUUUAGUUGCCACAUUUGUAGUUCUAACCUAGGAGUCCUGCUGUUUUGUGGAAUGCUUACUGUUAUUCAAAUACAUGUGAAAUAAUAACGUACAGAAUGGAGUAAAUUUUUUCCCCCUCCAAUCCUUUCAGAGAAAGACUCACUAACACCAUGAGUAAGCUGCACAGAUGCAAACUGUUGUAGGCACAGGCAGUGCUGAGGAGCGCUGGCACAUGUGCUAGGAGUGAUUUAUGGAGCUUCUGAAGACUUGUGUGCCUAGAAGAAGGGCACAGCAACAGCCUUCUUGCUCCACCGCCCUGGGGCUAUCUACAUCUUCACGCUGCCCAUCAAGAUCACUGCAUAGAUGGCCUUACUAAAGGAAAGAUUAAAAAUCAGCUGCAGAGAAGAAAACAUAAACAUCAUAAGCCUCAUCCUGUGCUUCUGACCUUCUUUCAAAAGAAAUCGGUCCCCCCACCAGCAAGACCUGUGCACCUAUUCAUUGCUGUUUGAGAACUGCUGUGUCCCUUCGCUCAGGUGUGAGGAGGAGUCCUUAAAAGUGUCCCAAGACUUGUAUUCUUCUCCUUCCCCAUCUCAAAGCAGUAGUACAAAAGAUUUCACAUUUCAGAAUGACAAUGAAGAAG
Long non-coding RNA from Grus americana (Whooping crane), 3496 nucleotides. RefSeq lists it as uncharacterized. Lineage: Eukaryota; Metazoa; Chordata; Aves; Gruiformes; Gruidae. The transcript has 3 exons. The record is from RefSeq and is a predicted model, not a curated record.